This 234-nucleotide ribosomal RNA is filed under the name uncultured bacterium. RNAcentral describes it as "partial 16S ribosomal RNA". It matches the Rfam family "Bacterial small subunit ribosomal RNA", at positions 105 to 334 of the family's 1533-position model. The record is from RNAcentral.
CGCGACGGUGAGUACACGUAUCCAACCUGCCGUCUACUCUUGGACAGCCUUCUGAAAGGAAGAUUAAUACAAGAUGGCAUCAUGAGUCCGCAUGUUCACAUGAUUAAAGGUAUUCCGGUAGACGAUGGGGAUGCGUUCCAUUAGAUAGUAGGCGGGGUAACGGCCCACCUAGUCUUCGAUGGAUAGGGGUUCUGAGAGGAAGGUCCCCCACAUUGGAACUGAGACACGGUCCAA